GCAAGUCGAACGGUAACAGGCAAAAGCUUGCUUUUGUGCUGCAAGUGGCGGACGGGUGAGUAACGCGUAGGAAUCUGCCUAGCAGCGGGGGACAACCUGGAGAAAUCCAGGCUAAUACCGCAUACGCCCUACGGGGGAAAGUCAGGGAUCUUCGGACCUGACACUGUUAGAUGAGCCUGCGUUAGAUUAGCUUGUUGGUAGGGUAAUGGCCUACCAAGGCGACGAUCUAUAACUGGUCUGAGAGGAUGACC
RNAcentral lists this ribosomal RNA (251 nucleotides) under uncultured bacterium. Its description in RNAcentral is "partial 16S ribosomal RNA". It matches the Rfam family "Bacterial small subunit ribosomal RNA", at positions 57 to 305 of the family's 1533-position model. The record is from RNAcentral.